This 429-nucleotide ribosomal RNA is filed under the name Chloroflexota bacterium. RNAcentral's name for it is "Chloroflexi bacterium partial 16S ribosomal RNA". It matches the Rfam family "Bacterial small subunit ribosomal RNA", at positions 355 to 776 of the family's 1533-position model. Lineage: Bacteria; Bacillati; Chloroflexota. The record is from RNAcentral.
UAGGGAAUCUUCGGCAAUGGACGAAAGUCUGACCGAGCAACGCCGCGUGAGUGAAGAAGGUUUUCGGAUCGUAAAACUCUGUUGUUAGAGAAGAACAAGGACGUUAGUAACUGAACGUCCCCUGACGGUAUCUAACCAGAAAGCCACGGCUAACUACGUGCCAGCAGCCGCGGUAAUACGUAGGUGGCAAGCGUUGUCCGGAUUUAUUGGGCGUAAAGCGAGCGCAGGCGGUUUGUUAAGUCAGAUGUGAAAUCCCCGGGCUCAACCUGGGAACUGCAUCUGAUACUGGCAAGCUUGAGUCUCGUAGAGGGGGGUAGAAUUCCAGGUGUAGCGAUGAAAUGCGUAGAGAUCUGGAGGAAUACCGGUGGCGAAGGCGGCCCCCUGGACGAAGACUGACGCUCAGGUGCGAAAGCGUGGGGAGCAAACAGG